CCUACGGGAGGCAGCAGUAGGGAAUCUUUCACAAUGGGCGAAAGCCUGAUGGAGCAACGCCGCGUGCAGGAUGAAGGCCCUCGGGUUGUAAACUGCUUUUAUAAGCGAGAAAUAUGAUGGUAACUUAUGAAUAAGGAUCGGCUAACUACGUGCCAGCAGCCGCGGUCAUACGUAGGAUCCGAGCAUUAUCCGGAGUGACUGGGUGUAAAGAGUUGCGUAGGUGGCAUAAUAAGUAGCUAGUGAAAUCUGGUGGCUCAACCAUUCAGACUAUUAGCUAAACUGUUAAGCUCGAGACCGUUAGGGGUAACUGGAAUUUCUAGUGUAGGAGUGAAAUCCGUAGAUAUUAGAAGGAACACCAAUAGCGUAGGCAGGUUGCUGAGACGGUUCUGACACUAAGGCACGAAAGCGUAGGGAGCAAACGGGAUUAGAUACCCGAGUAGUC
RNAcentral lists this ribosomal RNA (442 nucleotides) under uncultured bacterium. RNAcentral describes it as "partial 16S ribosomal RNA". It matches the Rfam family "Bacterial small subunit ribosomal RNA", at positions 338 to 795 of the family's 1533-position model. The record is from RNAcentral.